RNAcentral lists this ribosomal RNA (858 nucleotides) under uncultured Alphaproteobacteria bacterium. RNAcentral describes it as "bacterial SSU rRNA". It matches the Rfam family "Bacterial small subunit ribosomal RNA", at positions 8 to 914 of the family's 1533-position model. Lineage: Bacteria; Pseudomonadati; Pseudomonadota; Alphaproteobacteria. The record is from RNAcentral.
AGAGUUUGAUCAUGGCUCAGAACGUACGCUGGCGGCACGCCUAACACAUGCAAGUCGAACGAAGUAGCAAUACUUAGUGGCAGACGGGUGAGUAACAUGUAGGUAUCUGCCCUUUGGCCUGGAAUAACACGAGGAAACUUGUGCUAAUACCGGAUAAGUCUUUACGGAGAAAGCUUUAUGCACCAUUGGAUGAGCCUGCACUUGAUUAGUUUGUUGGUGGGGUAAUGGCCUACCAAGACUGUGAUCAAUAGCUGAUUUGAGAGGAUGAUCAGCCACAUUGGGACUGAGACACGGCCCAAACUCCUACGGGAGGCAGCAGUGGGGAAUCUUGCACAAUGGAGGAAACUCUGAUGCAGCGAUGCCGCGUGAGUGAAGAAGGCCUUUGGGUUGUAAAGCUCUUUCGUCGGGGAAGAAAAUGACUGUACCCGAAUAAGAAGGUCCGGCUAACUUCGUGCCAGCAGCCGCGGUAAUACGAAGGGACCUAGCGUAGUUCGGAAUUACUGGGCUUAAAGAGUUCGUAGGUGGUUGAAAAAGUUGGUGGUGAAAUCCCAGAGCUUAACUCUGGAACUGCCAUCAAAACUUUUCAGCUAGAGUAUGAUAGAGGAAAGCAGAAUUUCUAGUGUAGAGGUGAAAUUCGUAGAUAUUAGAAAGAAUACCAAUUGCGAAGGCAGCUUUCUGGAUCAUAACUGACACUGAGGAACGAAAGCAUGGGUAGCGAAGAGGAUUAGAUACCCUCGUAGUCCAUGCCGUAAACGAUGUGUGUUAGACGUUGGAAAUUUAUUUUCAGUGUCGCAGCGAAAGCGAUAAACACACCGCCUGGGGAGUACGACCGCAAGGUUAAAACUCAAAUGAAUUGAC